Molecule: microRNA precursor, 68 nt
Filed under: Rhinopithecus bieti (black snub-nosed monkey)
Lineage: Eukaryota; Metazoa; Chordata; Mammalia; Primates; Cercopithecidae
Description: miRNA (ENSRBIG00000005459.1)
Source: RNAcentral
UGGUGCAAAAGUAAUUGCGGUUUUUGCCAUGAAAAGUAAUGCAAAAACUGCAACUACUUUUGCACCAA